UACGUAUGGUGCAAGCGUUAUCCGGAUUUACUGGGUGUAAAGGGAGCGCAGGCGGCACGGCAAGCCUGAUGUGAAAGCCCGCGGCCCAACCGCGGGACUGCAUUGGGAACUACCGGGCUGGAGUGCCGGAGAGGUAGGCGGAAUUCCUAGUGUAGCGGUGAAAUGCGUAGAUAUUAGGAGGAACACCAGUGGCGAAGGCGGCUUGCUGGACAGAGACUGACGUUGAGGCUCGAAAGCGUGGGGAGCAAACAGG
This 253-nucleotide ribosomal RNA is filed under the name uncultured bacterium. RNAcentral describes it as "partial 16S ribosomal RNA". It matches the Rfam family "Bacterial small subunit ribosomal RNA", at positions 524 to 776 of the family's 1533-position model. The record is from RNAcentral.